GACGAACCGUGCGAACGUUGUUCGGAAUCACUGGGCUUAAAGGGUGUGUAGGCGGGCUUGCAAGUCUGCGGUGAAAGCCUCCAGCUUAACUGGAGAAGUGCCGUGGAUACUGCGAGUCUCGAGGAGGGUAGGGGCAUCUGGAACGUUGGGUGGAGCGGUGAAAUGCGUUGAUAUCCAACGGAACUCCGGUGGCGAAGGCGAGGUGCUGGACCCUUUCUGACGCUGAAACACGAAAGCCAGGGGAGCGAACGGG
This 253-nucleotide ribosomal RNA is filed under the name uncultured bacterium. Its description in RNAcentral is "partial 16S ribosomal RNA". It matches the Rfam family "Bacterial small subunit ribosomal RNA", at positions 524 to 776 of the family's 1533-position model. The record is from RNAcentral.